This is a non-coding RNA of Myotis lucifugus (little brown bat), 75 nucleotides long. NCBI's taxonomy places the organism in Eukaryota, Metazoa, Chordata, Mammalia, Chiroptera, Vespertilionidae. The record is from Rfam.
GGUGGUUCUCAGUUGAGGCACUUUGGAAUCAGGCUCCCUUUUCUCUGGUUCCGGGUGCAUCACCCGAGGACUGCA